Gossypium arboreum is the source of this 827-nucleotide RNA transcript. It is a transcript of the gene named protein FEZ-like, with no coding region annotated. The transcript is spliced from 4 exons. NCBI's taxonomy places the organism in Eukaryota, Viridiplantae, Streptophyta, Magnoliopsida, Malvales, Malvaceae. The record is from RefSeq and is a predicted model, not a curated record.
CUAUAUAUAUAUAAGGGAAAUGAUAUUUUGUUCGGGUUAGUAAUGGAAGAUCAAGUGGAUGGAAAUGAAGAUUAUGGUGAUAAAUUGCCGGUUGGGUUUAGGUUUUUGCCGACAGAUGUAGAGUUGGUGACUCAUUAUUUGAUAAACAAAGUGAUUUAUAACCCUUUUUCAUCUUUCAUUUUUCAAGAAAUCAACGCCACCGAGCUUUAUACCAAAUCUCCCAAGAAUUCAGAUGAACCAAAUGAUGAGAUCAAAACCUGGACGUGUGGUGGCCGGGCAAUGCAUCAUCGGUGGGAAAUUCUUAUGCCUAAAUGAAUUAAUGAAAGAAGAGAUUCCAAUUCUGUAAUGGAGAAAGAGAGUGGUUCUUUUUCAUUUACAUGGAUAUGAACAUUGAUAAUAUGCAUAACAAAGCAAUUGAAAAAGGUGGAGAUGAAUUAGGUUUUUGGCAAUCAAUUGGUGAUAGGAAAUGUGUGAAGGACACCAAUGGAAAUAUAUUAGCCACCAAGAUUACUUUUAUUUAUUUUUCGGGAUCUCCUUCCCAUAGAAAGAAAACACAUUGGAGAAUCGAUGAAUUUCGACUACCCAUUCAAUUCUACACUCUACAUAAUUCUAAGGAGAAGUGGGCUGCUGGGAGACUUACACGAGGCAGAGACUACACUAGUUUUUGAUUGAGCUCGCAAACGGUGAACUUGGCUUCCGCUUACUUCGUAUUCGAAUUUUUAGACGCUCGAAUUCGGGUUUAGAUUUUUUUAGAAUUAAAUUUUUUUGGAUUCGGGGUUUUUUAGUUGGAUCUAUUACAGAUAUAAAAUUUUUUGAGUAAGCACAAA